GAUGAACGCUAGCGGGAGGCCUAAUACAUGCAAGUCGAGCGGUAGAGUGACUUCGGUUGCUUGAGAGCGGCGCACGGGUGAGUAACGCGUACAUGACCUACCUUUAAGACUGGGAUAGCCCUGGGAAACUGGGAUUAAUACCGGAUGUGAUAAUACGUAUAGAGAUGUAUUAUUAAAGUUGAGGCGCUUAGAGAUGGAUGUGCGUCUGAUUAGCUAGUUGGUAGGGUAACGGCCUACCAAGGCGACGAUCAGUAGGGGGCGUGAGAGCGUGGCCCCCCACACGGGUACUGAGACACGGACCCGACUCCUACGGGAGGCAGCAGUAAGGAAUAUUGGUCAAUGGACGGAAGUCUGAACCAGCCAUCCCGCGUGCAGGAUGACUGCCCUAUGGGUUUAAACUGCUUUUAGCAGAGACGAAACGCCUUCAUUUAUGAGGGUCUGACGGUAUCUGCAGAAUAAGCACCGGCUAACUCCGUGCCAGCAGCCGCGGUAAACACGG
This 499-nucleotide ribosomal RNA is filed under the name uncultured bacterium. RNAcentral's name for it is "bacterial SSU rRNA". It matches the Rfam family "Bacterial small subunit ribosomal RNA", at positions 28 to 528 of the family's 1533-position model. The record is from RNAcentral.